This 621-nucleotide ribosomal RNA is filed under the name uncultured bacterium. RNAcentral describes it as "bacterial SSU rRNA". It matches the Rfam family "Bacterial small subunit ribosomal RNA", at positions 107 to 714 of the family's 1533-position model. The record is from RNAcentral.
UGAGUAACACGUGGGCAACCUGCCCUGUAGAUUGGGAUAACUCCGGGAAACCGGGGCUAAUACCGAAUAAUCCUUCGGACCUCAUGGUCCGAUGUUGAAAGGCGGCUUCGGCUGUCACUACAGGAUGGGCCCGCGGCGCAUUAGCUAGUUGGUGAGGUAACGGCUCACCAAGGCCACGAUGCGUAGCCGACCUGAGAGGGUGAUCGGCCACACUGGGACUGAGACACGGCCCAGACUCCUACGGGAGGCAGCAGUAGGGAAUCUUCCACAAUGGACGAAAGUCUGAUGGAGCAACGCCGCGUGAGUGAAGAAGGUUCUCGGAUCGUAAAACUCUGUUGUGAGGGAAGAACAAGUACCGGAGUAACUGCCGGUACCUUGACGGUACCUCAUUAGAAAGCCACGGCUAACUACGUGCCAGCAGCCGCGGUAAUACGUAGGUGGCAAGCGUUGUCCGGAAUCAUUGGGCGUAAAGCGCGCGCAGGCGGUCCCUUAAGUCUGAUGUGAAAGCCCACGGCUCAACCGUGGAGGGUCAUUGGAAACUGGGGGACUUGAGUGCAGAAGAGGAAAGCGGAAUUCCAAGUGUAGCGGUGAAAUGCGUAGAGAUUUGGAGGAACACCAGUG